UUGGAGCGUGCUGGCGAAGGUCGGCUCCUCUUUAAAUGCAUCAGCGGAGAAAAUGCCUUUUGCGCCUCUGGCCGUUCAGCGUGAUAAUGACGUUGCGCUGCGGUCGAGCUCAAGGUCCGCUUCUAAAGGUCCUCGGACGAUAUCAAUAUGUUUUGACCUCAAAUCAGGUAGGACUACCCGCUGAACUUAAGCAUAUCAAUAAGCGGAGGAAAAGAAACUAACAAGGAUUCCCCUAGUAACUGCGAGUGAAGCGGGAAAAGCUCAAAUUUAAAAUCUGGCGGUCUCCGGCCGUCCGAGUUGUAAUCUGGAGAAGCGUUUUCCGCGUCGGACCGUGUACAAGUCUUCUGGAACGGAGCGUCGUAGAGGGUGAGAAUCCCGUCUCUGACACGGACUGCCGAUGCUUUUGUGAUACGCUCUCGAAGAGUCGAGUUGUUUGGGAAUGCAGCUCAAAACGGGUGGUAAAUUCCAUCUAAAGCUAAAUAUUGGCGAGAGACCGAUAGCGAACAAGUACCGUGAGGGAAAGANGAAAAGCACUUG
This 537-nucleotide ribosomal RNA is filed under the name uncultured Tylospora. Its description in RNAcentral is "eukaryotic LSU rRNA". The stretch from base 154 to 537 matches the Rfam family "Eukaryotic large subunit ribosomal RNA", at positions 1 to 377 of the family's 3401-position model. The record is from RNAcentral. Lineage: Eukaryota; Fungi; Basidiomycota; Agaricomycetes; Atheliales; Atheliaceae.